AGAUUGAACGCUGGCGGCAUGCCUAACACAUGCAAGUCGAACGGGAGUAGCAAUACUCUAGUGGCGGACGGGUGAGGGAAUACGUAGGAAUUUGCCCUUAAGUGGGGGAUAACCCGGGGAAACCCGGAUUAAUACCGCAUGACCUCGAAAGAGCAAAGUGGGGGAUCGCAAGACCUCACGCUUUUGGAGAAGCCUACGUCGGAUUAGCUAGUUGGUGAGGUAAUGGCUCACCAAGGCGACGAUCCGUAACUGGUCUGAGAGGAUGAUCAGUCACACCGGAACUGAGACACGGUCCGGACUCCUACGGGAGGCAGCAGUGGGGAAUAUGGACAAGUGGGCGCAAGCCUGAUCCAGCAAUGCCGCGUGUGUGAAGAGGCCUUCGGGUUAGUAAA
RNAcentral lists this ribosomal RNA (392 nucleotides) under uncultured soil bacterium. Its description in RNAcentral is "bacterial SSU rRNA". It matches the Rfam family "Bacterial small subunit ribosomal RNA", at positions 26 to 429 of the family's 1533-position model. The record is from RNAcentral.